RNAcentral lists this non-coding RNA (228 nucleotides) under Streptomyces afghaniensis 772. RNAcentral describes it as "Bacterial small subunit ribosomal RNA". It matches the Rfam family "Bacterial small subunit ribosomal RNA", at positions 694 to 921 of the family's 1533-position model. Lineage: Bacteria; Bacillati; Actinomycetota; Actinomycetes; Kitasatosporales; Streptomycetaceae. The record is from Rfam by way of RNAcentral.
AUAUCAGGAGGAACACCGGUGGCGAAGGCGGAUCUCUGGGCCGAUACUGACGCUGAGGAGCGAAAGCGUGGGGAGCGAACAGGAUUAGAUACCCUGGUAGUCCACGCCGUAAACGGUGGGCACUAGGUGUGGGCAACAUUCCACGUUGUCCGUGCCGCAGCUAACGCAUUAAGUGCCCCGCUGGGGAUACGGCCGCAAGGCUAAAACUCAAAGGAAUUGACGGGGCCC